Molecule: transfer RNA, 68 nt
Filed under: Henricia pachyderma
Lineage: Eukaryota; Metazoa; Echinodermata; Asteroidea; Spinulosida; Echinasteridae
Description: tRNA-Gly
Source: RNAcentral
GUCUCACCAGUAUAAGUAGUAUAUUUGAUUUCCAAUCAAAUGGUUCUUGUGGGAUCAAGAGUGAGGUA